AGGACGAACGCUGGCGGCGCGCUUAACACAUGCAAGUCGAACGGGUGACCUUCGGGUCAUCAGUGGCGGACGGGUGCGUAACACGUAAGCGACCUGCCUUCAGGUGGGGGAUAACCCCGGGAAACCGGGGCUAAUACCGCAUGUGCUCUUGGGGCUGCAUGGUCUUAAGAGGAAAGCUCCUGCAAGGGAGCGCUUGAAGAGGGGCUUGCGGCGUAUCAGCUAGUUGGUGAGGUAACGGCUCACCAAGGCGACGACGCGUAGGGGGUCUGAGAGGACGGCCCCCCACAUUGGGACUGAGAUACGGCCCAGACUCCUACGGGAGGCAGCAGUGGGGAAUAUGGGCAAUGGCCGAAAGGCUGACCCAGCGACGCCGCGUGUGGGAGGAAGCCCGUUCGGGUGUAAACCACGUGGUCGGGGGGGACGAAAGGCGCGGGACGAAAAAUCGUCGCCAGCAGUGACGGUACCCUAGAGAAGCACCGGCUAACGUCUGUGCCAGCAGCCGC
RNAcentral lists this ribosomal RNA (503 nucleotides) under uncultured soil bacterium. Its description in RNAcentral is "bacterial SSU rRNA". It matches the Rfam family "Bacterial small subunit ribosomal RNA", at positions 26 to 518 of the family's 1533-position model. The record is from RNAcentral.